RNAcentral lists this ribosomal RNA (391 nucleotides) under uncultured bacterium. RNAcentral's name for it is "bacterial SSU rRNA". It matches the Rfam family "Bacterial small subunit ribosomal RNA", at positions 30 to 420 of the family's 1533-position model. The record is from RNAcentral.
AUUGAACGCUGGCGGCAUGCCUUACACAUGCAAGUCGAACGGCAGCACGGGAGCAAUCCUGGUGGCGAGUGGCGAACGGGUGAGUAAUAUAUCGGAACGUGCCCAGUCGUGGGGGAUAACGUAGCGAAAGCUACGCUAAUACCGCAUACGAUCUAUGGAUGAAAGCGGGGGAUCGCAAGACCUCGCGCGAUUGGAGCGGCCGAUAUCAGAUUAGGUAGUUGGUGGGGUAAAAGCCUACCAAGCCUUCGAUCUGUAGCUGGUCUGAGAGGACGACCAGCCACACUGGAACUGAGACACGGUCCAGACUCCUACGGGAGGCAGCAGUGGGGAAUUUUGGACAAUGGGCGGCAAGCCUGAUCCAGCAAUGCCGCGUGCAGGAUGAAGGCCUCGG